RNAcentral lists this long non-coding RNA (469 nucleotides) under Medicago truncatula (barrel medic). Its description in RNAcentral is "long non-coding RNA (MTRU_LNC004752)". The record is from RNAcentral. Lineage: Eukaryota; Viridiplantae; Streptophyta; Magnoliopsida; Fabales; Fabaceae.
GUGCAUAAACCGUUACUAUUAGAUUCUUAAAACAUGGCUAUAGAAAAACAAUGAUGUUUAUGCUCAUUAACGUAACAUCUUUGUUAUUUUUUGUCUAGAGUGAGAUCAUAACCCAUUGUAUUCUAAUGCAUUGUAUAAUUGAUUUAGCAUUAUUGUGAAGAAAAAAAAUGUGAGAGGUUACGUAUUAGAUUAGUUUAUUAGAUAGAAUGAUUAGAGAAUAGAAAUUAAACCUUUUUUAGAGGUGUCACAUAGGCACAAUCCUAGCAUUAGAGAUAGUCAAGUUUAGUUUACAAAGAGAAGAAGAUAUAGAUAGAUAGAUGCUCCAAAGAUGCGACACCCAUCUUGUUCCUCAGCUCCUUAAACUUGUCAUGCUUCACAAAUUUUGCUGGAACGUCUGCUUCAUAUAUAGCAGUAGGACAAUGUAACGGUUGUAGUCUCUUUUUAUUUACUUGAUCUCGUGAUUCCUUGU